This is a non-coding RNA of Camelina sativa (false flax), 1201 nucleotides long. The record is from RefSeq and is a predicted model, not a curated record. NCBI's taxonomy places the organism in Eukaryota, Viridiplantae, Streptophyta, Magnoliopsida, Brassicales, Brassicaceae.
UCAACCAUAGUAAAUAACCUUCCACUACCAUCUUCACCCUGCACACCUGAAUGCUUAUCUUCAGACGCCUUCUCUGCUGAACAUUUGUCCCCAAUUUGAUUCAUCUUAUUCCACUGAAAUCAUAGCAAAAGAAAGAAAAUUAUAAGAACUGAACAAAAUGUUCUGUGGGUUCAGUGUUCACUUUCUCUCUCAGAACAAAGUUUCAGAUCUAAUUUUUAUUUUGCCUGAGUUAUUGUCAGAGCAGCAACAGUGAGCAAUCUUUCACUCCUGUCAGCGCAGCGGUGGUUAAUAUUGUUGUAUGUUCAUUUUCUUAUUUUUUUGCCAGAGUUCCAUUGACCCAUAUGGAUCUAUCCGCCAUUGUUCACAAGUUCCAUUGACCCAUAUGGAUCUAUCCGCCAUUGUUCACAAGGUAGCUAUGAUGGAUCUGAAUCGCUCGCUCCGUCGAAACCCCUAGCUCUUCAUGCUAUCUUCCCGACGAUCUAUGUCCCUCUCUAUCUUCGAUUUGGGACUCAUAUGGUUGAAGACAAGACAAGCUUCGAAGAAGACCAGCUCGCCUCCAUGUCCACCGAAGAUAUCACCUGAGUUACUCGACAACAAGAUUCAAAUUCUCAAGGUCGGAACCACAAUUCUCUCCGACGUCGGCCUCGGCUCUCUGAUCGGCUCUACUUUUUUUUUUCCUUAUCCGGCAUCGAGUCGUCAAGCCGCUGGAUCAUCGAGUUACUGUAGACGAUUGCAAAAACGUACUUGAUAGGGAUUAUCAGCCGAAGCGACCUUGACGACGAUGCUUAGUUAACUCUGCUUUGAUGUUAGAGAUUUAAAAAAAGGUUAGAUUUCUUCUUCUUCUCAUUCGAUCUUAAGAGUCUCUGAAUUGCGAUUUGUCGUCUCGCUUCAAGGUGAUGAGCUCUACCUCUUCCUCCCAGGUAAACCACUCUUAUCUCUUGUCCUGUCCAUCAUCAGGUUUUUGUCUCCUUCUUACAGGAUUUAGUUCUAGUUCAGUUUGGUCUCGUUUUUGUUAUUUGAAUGCAGCUUUUGGUUUUGAUUUGGAUUUAAGGUUCCUUUUUGAUUAAUCUCGUACUAUAGAUGAGUUGAUCAGGUGUUACUGAUAGGUCUUUGAAGUAAAAUAAGCUUGAAUCGAGCCUAAUUAUGAUGAUUCUUUCUUUUGUACAAAGUUACUGAAUCUGCUGUGAAUGUUUUAUGGCAG